UGGGGAAUAUUGGACAAUGGGCGAAAGCCUGAUCCAGCCAUGCCGCGUGUGUGAAGAAGGUCUUCGGAUUGUAAAGCACUUUAAGUUGGGAGGAAGGGCAGUAAAUUAAUACUUUGCUGUUUUGACGUUACCGACAGAAUAAGCACCGGCUAACUCUGUGCCAGCAGCCGCGGUAAUACAGAGGGUGCAAGCGUUAAUCGGAAUUACUGGGCGUAAAGCGCGCGUAGGUGGUUCGUUAAGUUGGAUGUGAAAUCCCCGGGCUCAACCUGGGAACUGCAUUCAAAACUGACGAGCUAGAAUAUGGUAGAGGGUGGUGGAAUUUCCUGUGUAGCGGUGAAAUGCGUAGAUAUAGGAAGGAACACCAGUGGCGAAGGCGACCACCUGGACUGAUACUGACACUGAGGUGCGAAAAGCGUGGGGGAGCAAAACAG
This 431-nucleotide ribosomal RNA is filed under the name uncultured bacterium. Its description in RNAcentral is "partial 16S ribosomal RNA". It matches the Rfam family "Bacterial small subunit ribosomal RNA", at positions 355 to 776 of the family's 1533-position model. The record is from RNAcentral.